AGAGUUUGAUCCUGGCUCAGGAUGAACGCUAGCGGCGGGCUUAAUACAUGCAAGUCAAGGGGUAGCAAUACACCGGCGUACGGGUGCGUAACGCGUAUGGAACCUGCCCUUAUCUGGGGGAUAACUCGGGGAAACUCGAGCUAAUACCGCAUAAGAUAGUAGAAUGGCAUCAUUCAGCUAUUAAAGAUUUAUUGGAUAAGGAUGGCCAUGCGUAAGAUUAGAUAGUUGGCGAGGUAACGGCUCACCAAGUCUACGAUCUUUAGGGGCUCUGAGAGGAGAAUCCCCCACACUGGCACUGAGAUACGGGCCAGACUCCUACGGGAGGCAGCAGUAGGGAAUAUUGGGCAAUGGGCGGAAGCCUGACCCAGCCACGCCGCGUGCAGGAAGACGGCCCUCUGGGUUGUAAACUGCUUUUAACUGGGAAGAAAAGAGGCCUUGCGAGGCAAGUUGACGGUACCAGUUGAAUAAGCCACGGCUAACUACGUGCCAGCAGCCGCGGUAAUACGUAGGUGGCGAGCGUUAUCCGGAUUUAUUGNGUUUAAAGGGAGCGUAGGCGGCUGAUUAAGUCAGCGGUGAAAGGUAGCAG
Molecule: ribosomal RNA, 586 nt
Filed under: uncultured freshwater bacterium
Lineage: Bacteria
Description: bacterial SSU rRNA
Rfam family: Bacterial small subunit ribosomal RNA
Source: RNAcentral